UUAUUUAGCAUUGAUUUUGUGUCAGAUAGGCACAACUUUACACAAAUUAACCCAUUUCAUUCUUUUACCAACUCUAAGGUACAGGCUCUGCUAUUGUCCCCAGUUACAGAAAGGAAACCGAGGCACAGAAGCUAAGUGACCUGCCCAAGUCACAAACCUAGCAAGGAAAGAAGCUGGAAUAUGCUGCCACAUACAACCUGGGAAGAGUGAAAAACUACUAGAGCUGACAGGAACUGCAGGAUAUAACAUAAUACAAAUACGUGAUGUCACAGGAAAAUGGAACAAUGGCCAUUUACAGACAGGGCAACUGAGGUCCAGCCAGGUUUCAUUGCUUACUCAAUGUCAGGUGGGGACACUGAGAUUCAUGGACAUUAUAUAACAUGCCUGAUGUCACAUCCUUAUUUGCAUUUGACACAAAAGUCUAAAUUAUAGCUAUAUCCCCUUUGAAACAGUAAGCUAAUUCUAAACUUGAGUCCUGGAUACUCCAGUACAGCCAGAAGAGUUUUCACACACCAAAAAAUGCAGCAACCGAGUGCAGAGACACAGUGUGGCUUUUCUAGAUGAAAAACCCAAUCAGAUAGUGGCUGGUAACAUCUUCCGGUCUCUGAUAACCCCCAUGCUACUGGAGCUGCUCAAGAUGACUUCAAAUGCAUGAAUCUGUUCACAUGCCAAAAGGUUUAUCAUAAGACUUGGCAGCUCAUGAUUAAAGAGGCACCGCAGUCCCCAGAACUUGAAGUGCCCUUUCAAAAAUUUUCCACAUUUGUUCUUGCUUCGAGUCAUGAUAAAGUGUUUCCAGUCAAAUACACCAGCUAAAAAUGAAGCUAUUUUCUGAAGGACAAGUGCCGGGUUUGGGUCCAGCACUUACAAAGACUCCUGGUACCACAGACCAUGGAACAGUCAGAGGUGAGGUGGGACUGUUCAACAACGAAUCCCAGAGGACCUUAAAACUGAGCAGGAAGAUUCCUGAGCUGCCAUGUCCAACUCCUUUGCACUUAACAAGGAUUCAACCGAGCUGAAGGGACUUGUCUGAAGCCACUGAGCAGGUUAGUGAGUGGCAGAGCCAGGAUCUAUAAUCAGGGGUUGGACAUGCCCAGGUUGCAAACAGCUUCAGUCCGAGAACUCACACUUGGAGCAGACAUACAUUUGCCUAAUGCCCUGCCCAGCUCUGGGUACAAACCUUCAGAAUCAAAUUCUGGUUUCAAACAUUGUAAUGAAGCUUCACAGUUUGCAGAUUUCUCACUGAAAACUUUAAGGCCAAAUCAAGAAAUCGUACGGCCAGGAUGCCCGGGUGGCCCCUGGAUGGGCUCUGUACUGACAGACUGGAGCCUGCUUGGGAUUUUCUCUCUCCCUCUCUCUCUGCUCCUCACCUGUUUGCACUUUCUCUCUCAAAAUAAAUAAACUUAAAAAAUGAAAGAAAGAAAUGACUAAUGUCAUAGACUCUUUGACAAAAGUGACCUUAAGGUAUGUGCACAGUGUCCUUUUCAUAGACCACAGAGAGUCAGAGAAAGAGAGAAAUAAUACUUUGCCCCCAGUACAUACACACAAAGAUCCUUGGCUUCACCAAAGCUGAGAACCUCAAACUCUCUUGACUGAAGGGUAAAGAGGGAGGCAAGAGCAAGGAGCAAUUAAAAACAGCAGUGAGUAAACCCCUCUAGCCUGGAACUCUCCUAGUUCCCGCUGUUAACAGGUCUGAAGACUCCCCCGUUGGUGGCUGGCAUGACACUAAGGGCCUCCUCACCCGCAGCGUUGCCCACGCCCGGAAAAAGAGCUGGAGAGGGAGAACUGAAUGCAACUCCAGAUAGUCUCUCUCUGGGUCCCUUCGGGGGCCCGCGCUGGGUCGAGUGAUCCCAGGGGAGGGUGUGAGAGGGUGUUCAAGCAACAAUCCCAAAGCGCCAGGGAAUGCACUUGAAGUUUCAGCCAGAGAGAGAGAGAGAUAGAGAGAGAGAGAGAAAGAAAAAAAAAAAAAAAAAAACUUUUUUGUUUUCUUUGGAAACAAGUUUU
Long non-coding RNA from Herpailurus yagouaroundi (jaguarundi), 2001 nucleotides. RefSeq lists it as uncharacterized. The transcript is spliced from 2 exons. The record is from RefSeq and is a predicted model, not a curated record. Lineage: Eukaryota; Metazoa; Chordata; Mammalia; Carnivora; Felidae.